RNAcentral lists this long non-coding RNA (900 nucleotides) under Equus caballus (horse). RNAcentral describes it as "lncRNA (ENSECAG00000038542.2)". Lineage: Eukaryota; Metazoa; Chordata; Mammalia; Perissodactyla; Equidae. The record is from RNAcentral.
GGCUCCUAAGCAACCUUGGCUUGUCUGCCAUGUCCACCAUAUUGCUGUCAUGAGUUCUUGACCCGGGAACUCUGACUCCCUUGAGAUAGAAAAUCUGUUCCCUUGUUGAUUGGGAUGCAGGUCCAUUGGUUCAAUGACAUCAGUGCCAAGAUCUCAGUGGCCUUCUUGGCCUUUCUUCAUGACCAGAGGAUGCUGCUCUAACUUCACCCAUCUCAACCAAGCACAGUGCUUGAAAUCGCCCAACCUCCUGUCGCUUUGUUGAAGAAGUCUCCCCAGAUUCUCCAAUCAGACGUCCACAGGGAGAGACCAAGGCCGGGCUCAUCUCUCUCCUGAGCAUCCAGUGUCUUUUCCAAGCGCUCUUGCCAUCCUCUUCCUUGGGUCAAGCCCCCUACUGGACUCUCAGCUCUCAGAGAGUGGGGACCAAGUCUAGCUCAGCUCGGCGUCUUCUUGGCACCUAGCCCAUGGCCUGGCCCAUUGCGGGCCCUUGGCACUAUUUCCUGCUGGUCGAGUGGAUUAUUUCUGGACUAUUUCAGCUAAGCAAGCAGGCAAUUUCUUCAUAUACUCUCUAAAGCUCUUUAAACAGGAGCCUCUUGUUGGAGCUCCUGAAAGGAAUCCACAGACCCAGAGGGAUUCUGGAUACUUUCUCUCUCCUAGUGUUGUGAGGUAAAUUGGUCUUCUAGAAGAAACUAUGAAGAAUAUUGUAACUAUUCUGAAGUGAUUUUUUAAUUACAUUUUUACUGGCUUACGUCAAAUCCAUUGUGAUAAAAUGUAAAAUCCGCUGACCCGCCUCCUUCAGCUAUGUCAAAAAGAACAGUGGCGUCAGCAGUUUCACAAGUGUGAGAACAUCCACACAUCUGUGGAUUUUCUUUUUGCAAUAUUAAUUUGGUAACUUGAAAAGUG